This 1268-nucleotide long non-coding RNA is filed under the name Cricetulus griseus (Chinese hamster). Its description in RNAcentral is "lncRNA (ENSCGRG00015035766.1)". Lineage: Eukaryota; Metazoa; Chordata; Mammalia; Rodentia; Cricetidae. The record is from RNAcentral.
CAGUAACCCCCAUGUCCACACCGACAGCUGCAUUAAACUCUUUGACAAAGCAGUUAGUUACUUUGAUCAGAAUAAUCCAUUUGCCCUAUCUCAGGGACCUUUCACCUGAAGCUUUUUCUGAACAGGGGAGAGGGGCGGGUAGACCCAUUUGUUUGGAUGAGAGCUGUCCAUUUCUCCUAUCCCAGGCAAGCUUGCCCUGUCUCCUUCCUGUCAGCCUUUGUUAGCCUUGACCCUUUAAUCAUUUGGGAUGCUCCUAGAGACAUUAGGAUUUUAGUCUGUCCUUGAGAAAACACUGGACCCUUCCUGCUUCCCAUUUUCAUGAUGAAGGAGAAACUCUUCUACAGGAGCCAAUUUGAUGAGACGAAUUCCAGAAUUCGAGCAGUUAAAUGAGAAAUCACAUUUGCCACCUGGUCUGGAGUGGGUGAGUGAUGGGAGACCCUUCUGUGUAUACGUUUGUCUUAUUAGUUGAUGAAUAAAGCACUGUUGGCCACUAGGAAAGCAUGAUAGGUGGGACUAAGAGUCGAGGCGGUUUCUGGGAAAUGUAUUAGAGGAGAGUCGCCAUGUGAGCCUGGGAAGACAAGACACUUGCUGCCGGUGUCCUCAAUAAGGGCCAGGGGAGACCGUUGGUGAAGUGACUGGCACACAAGCAAGAAGACCUGACAACCCACAUAAACACCCAGGAGUGUGAGGUGGCAUGCUUGUAGCCCAACUGCUGGGGUAAGGACAGGUAGGUCCCUGUCCCACCUAGCCUGUUCAGUGAGCUUCAGGCCAGUGAGACACUGUCUCCAGAAGGAGGAGAAAUGAAGUCUGCCUAAGAGGAUGAAGUCAUCCAGCAAUGUAAAUCUAAGAGCAAACAGAGGAGGACACACAGCUGCUUCAACACCAGAGUGUAGCAGAUGCCUGGGCUGUUUGGGAAUGCUAAGGAAAGUUCCCGAGCCAGCACAUCCCAGAGCUCUGCAUUUUGCCUGAAUGUGAAUUCCCUUUCUCUUUCUCUCCUCUCACUAUUUAGGUUGCUAUAUGGAAAUACCACGAAGGUAUAAGCUCGGAAUAUUAACCAAAAUGAUGGAGGCCAGAGAAUCUGAGCCAGAUGUUCCCAUUCUCAAUGUAUUCAAAAAAAAAAAAAAAACACAUUAGGACAAUUUUCAAGUUAUCUGUGUCUUGGCUGCUCAACAUAGGAGAUACUUUGGAACUUAAGAGUACCUUAAUAACAUAUACAUGCAAGUAAUACUAUGUAGGCUGAGCAAGUCGUAUUUAUGAGUUUAGGAACA